This 440-nucleotide long non-coding RNA is filed under the name Nicotiana benthamiana. RNAcentral's name for it is "long non-coding RNA (NBEN_LNC006696)". Lineage: Eukaryota; Viridiplantae; Streptophyta; Magnoliopsida; Solanales; Solanaceae. The record is from RNAcentral.
ACCUGAAUCCAUAUGUGGAAAUGUUGAACCUCCUUUUGAUGAUUAUCCUUAUGUUCUUGUGAACUCCUAUAGCCUUCCUUCAAGUUUUCUUGAAGUUGUAUAUCACCACAAGUAUGAAUCCACAAGACUAAAACAAUAUAUGAAAGGUUCACAAUAAUAGUGUAAUGACAAUGAUCAAAAAUGGUUUAUGGUUUUCCACACUAUUUGCACGAUAACAAUGGAGUAUUUUGGCUCUUGAUUCAAUGGGAGGAAGAAGAGUCUUGUCUUGCACUAAUGUGGGAACCAUAACCCCCACUUUAUAACUUAUGAGUUACAUAACCCAAGAGUCACAAGAGUUACAUAACUCAAGAAUCACAAGCAUGUAACCAUGGUUACAUAUAUGUAACCUUAGUUAGCCCAUCAUUAACUAAGGUUACCCUUUUGGGUAUCUACACAUUAGU